AAAAGCAAAAGAAGGGCGCAUGGCGGAUGCCUUGGCUCUCAGAGGCGAUGAAGGACGUGACAAGCUGCGAUAAGCUGCGGAGAGGUGCAAAUAACUCGCGACCCGCAGAUUUCCGAAUGGGGCAACCCUCCUGUUUGAAGAACAGGAAUCCCGACUUGUCGGGAAGUCAACCCGGUGAACUGAAACAUCUAAGUAACCGGAGGAAAAGAAAACAAUAGUGAUUCCCUAAGUAGUGGCGAGCGAACGGGGAACAGCCCAAACCACAUUUGUUUCGGCAUUUGUGGGGUUGUAGGACUGCAAUAUGGACUUUGAAUGAAUAGCAGAACAUUUCUGGAAAGUUAGGCCACAGCAGGUGAUAGCCCUGUAUGCGAAAUUCAUUCAAUACCUAGCAGUAUCCUGAGUAGGGCGGGGCACGUGAAACCCUGUCUGAAUCUGCCGGGACCAUCCGGUAAGGCUAAAUACUCCUGAGAGACCGAUAGUGAACAAGUACCGUGAGGGAAAGGUGAAAAGUACCCCGAACAGGGGAGUGAAAUAGUACCUGAAACCGUGUGCCUACAAGCGGUAGGAGUCCCGAUUUAUCGGGAUGACUGCGUGCCUUUUGCAUAAUGAGCCUACGAGUUGCUCCUCACUGGCAAGGUUAAUCCCGAUAAUCGGGAGCAGCCGAAGCGAAAGCAAGUCUGAAUAGGGCGAAUAGUCAGUGGGGGCAGACGCGAAACUUGGUGAUCUACCCAUGGCCAGGUUGAAGUCCCGGUAACACGGGAUGGAGGACCGAACCAGUACACGUUGAAAAGUGUUUGGAUGAGCUGUGGGUAGGGGUGAAAGGCCAAUCAAACCAAGAAAUAGCUCGUACUCCCCGAAAUGCAUUUAGGUGCAGCGUUGAGUUUAUAGUUAUAGAGGUAGAGCUACCGAUUGGGCUAGGGGGCUUCACCGCCUACCAAACCCUGACGAACUCCGAAUACUAUAACUUUUGCUCAGCAGUGAGGGCGCGGGUGCUAAGGUCCGUGUCCGAGAGGGAAAGAACCCAGAUCAUCAGCUAAGGUCCCAAAAUGUAUACUAAGUUGACCUAACGUGGUCCGACUGCUUUGACAGCUAGGAUGUUGGCUUGGAAGCAGCCACUCAUUUAAAGAGUGCGUAACAGCUCACUAGUCGAGCGGUUGGGCGUGGAUAAUAAUCGGGCAUUAAGUAUACUACCGAAGCUAUGAGCCCCCGAUUUAUCGGGGACGGUAGGGGAGCAUUCCAGUAACAUUGAAGAAAAAUCGUAAGGUUUUUUGGAGUGACUGGAAAAGAAAAUGUAGGCAUAAGUAACGAUAAAGCGGGCGAGAAACCCGCUCACCGAUAGACUAAGGUUUCCGGAUCAACGCUAAUCGGAUCCGGGUUAGUCGGGACCUAAGGUAAACCCGAAAGGGGCAACCGAUGGACAACAGGUUAAUAUUCCUGUACCGGCUUUAACUGCGAUGGGGUGACGAAGUAGUGAAAGACCUGCGUGCUGACGGAAUAGCACGUUAAAGGGUGUAGGUAUAUGGAUGGUAGGAAAAUCCGCCAACCGUGCCGAACCUCAUAGUACCACAACGCUUCGGCCGAGUGGAUAUGGUCCUAAACAAACUUCCAAGAAAAACCUCUAAGCUUCAGGUUAAAGCCGCCCGUACCCUAAACCGACACAGGUAGUCAAGGAGAGAAUCCUAAGGUGCUCGAGUGAAUCGUGGCUAAGGAACUAGGCAAAAUAGUCCUGUAACUUCGGGAAAAAGGACGCCUACUUCGGUAGGCCGCAGUGACCAGACCCAGGCGACUGUUUAGCAAAAACACAGGGCUCUGCUAAAUCGAAAGAUGAUGUAUAGGGCCUGACACCUGCCCGGUGCCGGAAGGUUAAGAGGAGAUGUUAUCCUUCGGGAGAAGCAUUGAAUUGAAGCCCCGGUAAACGGCGGCCGUAACUAUAACGGUCCUAAGGUAGCGAAAUUCCUUGUCGGGUAAGUUCCGACCUGCACGAAUG
Molecule: ribosomal RNA, 1987 nt
Filed under: Fluviicola sp.
Lineage: Bacteria; Pseudomonadati; Bacteroidota; Flavobacteriia; Flavobacteriales; Crocinitomicaceae
Description: bacterial LSU rRNA
Rfam family: Bacterial large subunit ribosomal RNA
Source: RNAcentral